This 254-nucleotide unclassified non-coding RNA is filed under the name plant metagenome. RNAcentral describes it as "partial contains small subunit ribosomal RNA, internal transcribed spacer 1, and 5.8S ribosomal RNA". The record is from RNAcentral.
UUUCCGUAGGUGAACCUGCGGAAGGAUCAUUAAAGAGUAAGGGACCUCUAGGCCCGACCUCCCACCCCUUUGUUUACCAAACCAAUGUUGCUUCGGCGGGCCCGUCUUAGGGCCGCCGGAGGACCGUCGAAACGUCCUCUGGCCCGCGCCCGUCGAUGGCCCGUAUUAUUAAACUCUGAGCCAAACGUGUCCUGUCUGAGUGAUUAUUAUCAAAAUUAAAGCAAAAACUUUCAACAACGGAUCUCUUGGUUCUG